UCUUAAUUAUGUAAGUGUUUGCCGACUGGCUCUGCACAGAGCCCUGAUCUCCAGAAUGACACUUGUGGAAAAAGAAACCUUAACCAGACUCAGGAGUCCAGAACAGCCUGACAUGGCCUUGAAGCAGUAGACACAGGUGGAGGAGACGAGAGAGGAGAGGAGAACACACACAGGACAC
Non-coding RNA from Electrophorus electricus (electric eel), 178 nucleotides. Lineage: Eukaryota; Metazoa; Chordata; Actinopteri; Gymnotiformes; Gymnotidae. The record is from RefSeq and is a predicted model, not a curated record.